GUAUGGCUUUCUUUUUCCGUUGGACAUAUUCAUUUUAUGAAAAAAAUGUUUUUUUGUAGUUAUGACGUCACAAUGCCGUGUUUUGACAACACUUCACGUGCAUAUUUGUUGGCUUUUCGCAAUUUUUUACCCAUUUUCGCCAAGUUUUUUUACGAAAAAAGUACCUGCGCAUUCUUGCCCCAACAAAAUAUUUUGUCAGAGCAAUAUUAUCAACUAAAUGCAUCUUAUGUUGAAAUAUUUUCGUGGGGCAAAGCUGCGCUCAUACUGAAUUUUAAUUAAAAACUUGCUCAAAACCAGCAUCGAAGUUCUCUAAUUAUCGUCCGUUUUUCCCGGUAUCGGAAAAAAAAAGGAACAUAUAAGUAUUUUUUUAACAUUUUUUUUGGUCAAUGGUUGAUAACAAUAAAGUUUGGCUACAGAAAGUAAAUUACAAAGCGUAUUUCUUCAUAUUAAAGUAAAACAUAGCCUCUCAAGUUAAGCCUAGCCCUUACCGUCUAUAUUUAUUGUAAGUGAUUACGGAACUGACGCACGGAAUUUUACUGGUGCUGUUGUUAAGAAGCUUUUUAUAGUGGAAUAGAAAUCAGCGUAUCAUUCAUUAAAUACUUUAUAUUAACAGACAGAAUUGAAAGAACUAAAUAUAAUUUAAAAGAUGUGAUUAUAUUUGUGAAAAUGGUGGAAUUCGUACUCCGUGAAAGACAUAAAUGUAUACUGCAGAUCACUGGAGACAGGGGACCUAAAUUAUUACAUGAUAAUUUCCUCAUAGAAAUGAAAUGGAUAAAUUAAGAAAGGGAAGAAAAGAUUCUAAAUGUAUAUUGUGUGAAAAAAGAACAAAACCCGGAAAAAGAAGACCUUUGUGUGGAGAAACAAAUAAAAAUCUGCGCAAUUUUCUCAGUAAAAAUUUCCUUGUUUCACCCAAUGAUGAUGACGUUAUCUGUGAUACUUGUCAACGGAAAUACUACAGAGAAGGGCAAGCACAAGUAAAUAAACCCACUGUCCUUACAACUGAUACAAAUGCAAAUGAUCCAGAUUUUAUGCCAUCAUCUGCACCUA
Long non-coding RNA from Mytilus trossulus (common blue mussel), 1047 nucleotides. RefSeq lists it as uncharacterized. The record is from RefSeq and is a predicted model, not a curated record. The transcript has 3 exons. NCBI's taxonomy places the organism in Eukaryota, Metazoa, Mollusca, Bivalvia, Mytilida, Mytilidae.